UACCGGCGGCUCGAGUGGUGGCCGAUAUUAUUGAGUCUAAAGGGUCCGUAGCCGGCUUUGCAAGUCCUGUGGGAAAUCCAGCGGCUUAACCGUUGGGCGUCUGCGGGAUACUACAUUGCUUGGGACUGGGAGAGGUAGGAGGUACUCAGGGGGUAGGAGUGAAAUCCUGUAAUCCUUUGGGGACCACCGGUGGCGAAGGCGUCCUACCAGAACAGGUCCGACGGUGAGGGACGAAAGCUAGGGGC
RNAcentral lists this ribosomal RNA (245 nucleotides) under uncultured archaeon. RNAcentral describes it as "partial 16S ribosomal RNA". It matches the Rfam family "Archaeal small subunit ribosomal RNA", at positions 474 to 718 of the family's 1478-position model. The record is from RNAcentral.